Myotis lucifugus (little brown bat) is the source of this 79-nucleotide non-coding RNA. The record is from Rfam. Lineage: Eukaryota; Metazoa; Chordata; Mammalia; Chiroptera; Vespertilionidae.
AGUGGUUAUUGGGUGAUGCACCCUGGAAUCGGGCCCCCUCCCCUCUGGUUCUGGGUGUGUGUGUCACCUGAGAACUGCC